This 459-nucleotide ribosomal RNA is filed under the name uncultured bacterium. Its description in RNAcentral is "partial 16S ribosomal RNA". It matches the Rfam family "Bacterial small subunit ribosomal RNA", at positions 339 to 795 of the family's 1533-position model. The record is from RNAcentral.
CUACGGGGCGCUCCAGUGAGGAAUAUUGGUCAAUGGCCGAGAGGCUGAACCAGCCAUCCCGCGUGCAGGAUGACGGCCCUAUGGGUUGUAAACUGCUUUUCUACGCCAAGAAAUCUGAUUACGUGUAAUUAGUUGACGGUAGCGUAGGAAUAAGCAUCGGCUAACUCCGUGCCAGCAGCCGCGGUAAUACGGAGGAUGCAAGCGUUAUCCGGAUUCAUUGGGUUUAAAGGGUGCGCAGGCGGGCUUGUAAGUCAGUGGUGAAAUACUGCCGCUUAACGGUAGAACUGCCAUUGAUACUGCAAGUCUUGAAUAUGGUUGAGGUAGGCGGAAUGUGUUGUGUAGCGGUGAAAUGCAUAGAUAUGACACAGAACGCCGAUUACGAAGGCAGCUUACUAAGCCAUUAUUGACGCUGAGGCACGAAAGCGUGGGGAGCGAACAGGAUUAGAUACCCUCGUAGUC